Molecule: long non-coding RNA, 370 nt
Filed under: Lupinus angustifolius (narrow-leaved blue lupine)
Lineage: Eukaryota; Viridiplantae; Streptophyta; Magnoliopsida; Fabales; Fabaceae
Description: long non-coding RNA (LANG_LNC001886)
Source: RNAcentral
GAUUCCACUUGCUUAAGAGCUUCCAAGGGGGAUUGGCUUUGUCAUUGAAGAUGUCAACCACUAUCAUUGAAUCACAUUCAAGCCAAAUAUUGUGCCAACCUUUUCCAUGAGCAAACCUAACCGCAAGCAUAGCAGCAUUGAGCUCCACAAAUAGAGCAUCAUUGCAGCCAUUAAAACAAGCAAAACAAGCCAUAGUUUGUCCCUCAUGGUUUCUGAAAAUGCCACCACCAGCUGAGGGACCAGGGCUGCCUCUAGCAGCACCAUCAGUAUUGAUUUUAACAGUUGCUUGAGCAGGGGGCAACCAAAUCACCUCAAUUAUUUUAGAAGCCUUAGAGUAAUUUAUUUUAACCUGAAGGAGUCUAAGCAGAGC